UAGUGUCAUCCUAAUUGGAUAGAGCAUUU
Molecule: non-coding RNA, 29 nt
Filed under: Rattus norvegicus (Norway rat)
Lineage: Eukaryota; Metazoa; Chordata; Mammalia; Rodentia; Muridae
Source: RNAcentral